This 29-nucleotide non-coding RNA is filed under the name Mus musculus (house mouse). The record is from RNAcentral. Lineage: Eukaryota; Metazoa; Chordata; Mammalia; Rodentia; Muridae.
UGCCCUGUCAGCAGUCUGACUCUGGAAUU